This 468-nucleotide ribosomal RNA is filed under the name uncultured bacterium. Its description in RNAcentral is "partial 16S ribosomal RNA". It matches the Rfam family "Bacterial small subunit ribosomal RNA", at positions 28 to 507 of the family's 1533-position model. The record is from RNAcentral.
GACGAACGCUGGCGGCGUGCUUAACACAUGCAAGUCGAACGGAAAGGCCCUGCUUUUGUGGGGUGCUCGAGUGGCGAACGGGUGAGUAACACGUGAGUAACCUGCCCUUGACUUUGGGAUAACUUCAGGAAACUGGGGCUAAUAACGGAUAGGAGCUCCUGCUGCAUGGUGGGGGUUGGAAAGUUUAGGCGGUUGGGGAUGGACUCGCGGCUUAUCAGCUUGUUGGUGGGGUAGUGGCUUACCAAGGCUUUGACGGGUAGCCGGCAUGAGAGGGUGACCGGGCACAUUGGGACUGAGAUACGGCGCAGACGCCUACGGGAGGCAGCAGUGGGGAGUAUUGCACAAUGGGCGGAAGCCUGAUGCAGCAACGUCGCGUGCGGGAUGCCGGCCUUCGGGUUGUAAACAGCUUUCGCCUGUGACGAAGCGUUAGUGACGGUAAUGGGUAAAGAAGCACCGGCUAACUACGUG